RNAcentral lists this ribosomal RNA (328 nucleotides) under uncultured bacterium. Its description in RNAcentral is "bacterial SSU rRNA". It matches the Rfam family "Bacterial small subunit ribosomal RNA", at positions 568 to 898 of the family's 1533-position model. The record is from RNAcentral.
UGAGUAGGCGGCAGUGUAAGUCAUAUGUGAAAGCCCGCGGCUUAACCGCGGGAUUGCAUAAGAAACUACACGGCUAGAGUAUGGGAGAGGUAAGCGGAAUUCCUAGUGUAGCGGUGAAAUGCGUAGAUAUUAGGAAGAACACCAGUGGCGAAGGCGGCUUACUGGACCAAGACUGACGCUGAGGCACGAAAGCGUGGGGAGCGAACAGGAUUAGAUACCCUGGUAGUCCACGCUGUAAACGAUGAGAACUAGGUGUUGGGGUGAGAGCCUCGGUGCCGCAGCUAACGCAAUAAGUUCUCCGCCUGGGGAGUACGUUCGCAAGAAUGAA